Molecule: transfer RNA, 73 nt
Filed under: Actinoplanes regularis
Lineage: Bacteria; Bacillati; Actinomycetota; Actinomycetes; Micromonosporales; Micromonosporaceae
Description: tRNA-Glu
Source: RNAcentral
GUUCGCGCUGGGCGGAGGCGGGUAGACCACCGGACUCUCGAUCCGGAAGACCGGGUUCAACCCCGGACGGGCG